CUUACCAAAUGGAACCAAUGAUUAUCUCCUCAUCACUUUUUUCCAAAUGGACCAAUUUGAUUCCAAAGUCACAAUAUUAGUAUACAAAAUGAAUAUGCAACUUUGAGAUUUGAUUUUGUGCUCUUGGGGUUGGAAUCGUUGCUAGUGGAGUAACUUGUUUCAGGUUGGGAGAUUGGAUCAGAGUCACUUCACAUUCCAGAUUCUGAUUUGCUGUGUUUUUGAAGGGAAGGAUGAGAAAAACGA
This 243-nucleotide small RNA is filed under the name Vigna angularis var. angularis. Its description in RNAcentral is "Non-protein coding transcript". Lineage: Eukaryota; Viridiplantae; Streptophyta; Magnoliopsida; Fabales; Fabaceae. The record is from RNAcentral.